This 624-nucleotide ribosomal RNA is filed under the name uncultured bacterium. RNAcentral's name for it is "bacterial SSU rRNA". It matches the Rfam family "Bacterial small subunit ribosomal RNA", at positions 338 to 1363 of the family's 1533-position model. The record is from RNAcentral.
CCUACGGGAGGCAGCAGUGGGGAAUUUUGGACAAUGGGCGCAGGCCUGAUCCAGCAAUGCCGCGUGCAGGAUGAAGGCCUUCGGGUUGUAAACUGCUUUUGUACGGAACGAAACGGUCUACCCUAAUACGGUGGGCUAAUGACGGUACCGUAAGAAUAAGCACCGGCUAACUACGUGCCAGCAGCCGCGGUAAUACGUAGGGUGCGAGCGUUAAUCGGAAUUACUGGGCGUAAAGCGUGCGCAGGCGGUUAUGUAAGACAGAUGUGAAAUCCCCGGGCUCAACCUGGGACCUGCAUUUGUGACUGCAUAGCUAGAGUACGGUAGAGGGGGAUGGAAUUCCGCGUGUAGCAGUGAAAUGCGUAGAUAUGCGGAGGAACACCGAUGGCGAAGGCAAUCCCCUGGACCUGUACUGACGCUCAUGCACGAAAGCGUGGGGAGCAAACAGGAUUAGAUACCCUGGUAGUCCACGCCCUAAACGAUGUCAACUGGUUGUUGGGUCUUCACUGACUCAGUAACGAAGCUAACGCGUGAAGUUGACCGCCUGGGGAGUACGGCCGCGAAGGUUGAAACGUCAAAGAGUAGUAGCGGNGAGAGAGACGACGACGACGACGACGGAGGGAGGAG